GACGAACGCUGGCGGCGUGCCUAAUACAUGCAAGUCGAGCGGAGUUAUUCCUUCGGGGAUAACUUAGCGGCGGACGGGUGAGUAACACGUAGGCAACCUGCCUGUAAGAUCGGGAUAACUACCGGAAACGGUAGCUAAGACCGGAUAAUCAACUUGGUCGCAUGAUCGAGUUGGGAAAAGCGGAGUAAUCUGCUGCUUACAGAUGGGCCUGCGGCGCAUUAGCUAGUUGGUGGGGUAACGGCUCACCAAGGCGACGAUGCGUAGCCGACCUGAGAGGGUGAACGGCCACACUGGGACUGAGACACGGCCCAGACUCCUACGGGAGGCAGCAGUAGGGAAUCUUCCGCAAUGGACGCAAGUCUGACGGAGCAACGCCGCGUGAGUGAUGAAGGUUUUCGGAUCGUAAAGCUCUGUUGCCAGGGAAGAACGCUUGGGAGAGUAACUGCUCUUAAGGUGACGGUACCUGAGAAGAAAGCCCCGGCUAACUACGUGCCAGCAGCCGCCGUAAGAC
RNAcentral lists this ribosomal RNA (511 nucleotides) under uncultured bacterium. Its description in RNAcentral is "bacterial SSU rRNA". It matches the Rfam family "Bacterial small subunit ribosomal RNA", at positions 28 to 526 of the family's 1533-position model. The record is from RNAcentral.